RNAcentral lists this microRNA precursor (58 nucleotides) under Gekko japonicus. RNAcentral's name for it is "Gja-Mir-17-P1c_pre stem-loop". It matches the Rfam family "mir-17 microRNA precursor family", at positions 13 to 68 of the family's 80-position model. From Rfam's summary of the family: This family represents the microRNA (miRNA) precursor mir-17, family, which includes mir-20, mir-91, and mir-103. miRNAs are transcribed as ~70nt precursors (modelled here) and subsequently processed by the Dicer enzyme to give a ~22nt product. In this case the mature sequence comes from the 3' arm of the precursor. Lineage: Eukaryota; Metazoa; Chordata; Lepidosauria; Squamata; Gekkonidae. The record is from RNAcentral.
AAAAGUGCUUAUAGUGCAGGUAGCAUAUUGGCACCUACUGCAGUAUUGGCACUUCAGC